UACGUAGGUCCCGAGCGUUGUCCGGAUUUAUUGGGCGUAAAGCGAGCGCAGGUGGUUUAUUAAGUCUGGUGUAAAAGGCAGUGGCUCAACCAUUGUAUGCAUUGGAAACUGGUAGACUUGAGUGCAGGAGGGGAGAGUGGAAUUCCAUGUGUAGCGGUGAAAUGCGUAGAUAUAUGGAGGAACACCGGUGGCGAAAGCGGCUCUCUGACCUGUAACUGACACUGAGGCUCGAAAGCGUGGGGAGCAAACAGG
RNAcentral lists this ribosomal RNA (252 nucleotides) under uncultured bacterium. RNAcentral's name for it is "partial 16S ribosomal RNA". It matches the Rfam family "Bacterial small subunit ribosomal RNA", at positions 524 to 776 of the family's 1533-position model. The record is from RNAcentral.